UGUCACUUAGAUUUGAGAGAAAAGAUUGUUCACGAUUGAGCUUUUCCCAUACUAAAAAUAUAAAUAAAUAUGUAGAUAAGUAGAUAACAACCAAACUUCCAAAGACAGGUACUUAUUUUAAUUUGGAACAGUUCUUCCCUUAAAAAAUUUGUCAACCAAAGUACACAACUUGAAUCCUGUUUAUUUUAUUGCAAUUAAGUCAUGAGUGGACAUUUUCCACACUCUUCCUUAAGAAAUAAACAGUAAGUCAAUGACACUUUUACAGGACUCUCCACAGCAUAACACAAGGAGCAGAAAAACAGGAGAAGAAUAAGUUUGAGACUUUGAUGUUUAAAGGGCUUUAGUGAUUGGAACAUCUGCUGCUGCUUUCCCAGGGAAGCUGGACCAAAGGCGGAGCAACUCAUAUAAGAUGCUUUCAUCAUCUGCAUUUGUCUAACUU
Molecule: long non-coding RNA, 439 nt
Organism: Ochotona princeps (American pika)
Lineage: Eukaryota; Metazoa; Chordata; Mammalia; Lagomorpha; Ochotonidae
Exons: 3
Source: RefSeq, a predicted model, not a curated record